ACAAAUACGUAUAAUGUACUACGUUGCCAUUCUGAGGAAGAAGUAAACUUACCUCCGUUCUGUGGCAAAGAUGUUUUGCGAAUAUUCUGUAGAUUUGUCAACACCGUUCUGUUGUUAUUCUUUGCACCUUCAUUUUGCUUUCACGUUUGUAAUCGGCGUUAUUUUAUACAAGUUAGUGAAUUUUAAGUUCCAUAGUGUAAAUUUCAAGCAUGAAAAACUCUCUCGCACGUGUACGAAACACAUCGUGGCACAACUUAUACCGGCGGCCUCAAAGAUGGUAUUUAUAAUUAUCAAUUAUUAUCAAGCAAAUAUAUACAAAUAUAUCAAGAAUAAUAGUUGGUUUAUGCACCAUUCCUAAGAACCAAUAACUUUUUAGUUAUUGGUAUAUAAAGUAGUUCGAGCACUAACAAGGGAGUGCAUAAAAGCCACUGAAUUCUAAGCCCUGAAGAUCAAUGUUCAAUAUGCCUCGAUCCUUUAACAGAAGUAAUAUUGACAACGCCUUGUAACCAUAGAUUCCAUUAUCGAUGUAUCAAACGCUGGAUCAGGCGGAGCAGAACCUGCCCGUAUUGUAGGGCAAUUAUUGCGAGGAGAUCACAAGAAGGUGUAGAUGUCAGAGGAAGAGGUCUUGUCAUUGUGACGUUAUCCUUUCAUUACAGCCAUAGCAGUUGAUGCCACCAAAAAUUCAUGAGAAAAGAAUUUCCAUAUGUUUCCUUAAUAUUAUAUAUUGCUUGUGCAUACAAUUUAUUUUGUUAUGUAAAUAAUAUUAUCAUAUCGUAUGAUAUAAUAGUGUAUAAAUUAUAUUUUCCUAUUUUAAUUUGUAAAGAAUAUUUUAUAUGUCGAUGAAUAACUAAAACCAUAAUUACAUUUUUAUCAAUAUAACGUUAUGGAUAUUUUCUGGGAUUUAUAAAAUGUUUCAGAUUCAAAAAUAUACAAAUUUUUGAAUAAAAACUUAAUCUGACCCGAUGAAAGAUGUUGGAAGGAUUUUAAUGCCGGUAAUAUUUUUUUUUAUGAAUAAAUUAUUUUUUCUU
Harmonia axyridis is the source of this 1028-nucleotide long non-coding RNA. RefSeq lists it as uncharacterized. The record is from RefSeq and is a predicted model, not a curated record. NCBI's taxonomy places the organism in Eukaryota, Metazoa, Arthropoda, Insecta, Coleoptera, Coccinellidae. The transcript has 2 exons.